GCAUCGGUGGCUUAGUGGUAGAAUGCUCGCCUGCCACGCGAACCUGAGGGUUCGAUUCCCGGCCGAUGCA
Non-coding RNA from Cordylochernes scorpioides, 70 nucleotides. Lineage: Eukaryota; Metazoa; Arthropoda; Arachnida; Pseudoscorpiones; Chernetidae. The record is from the annotation of a GenBank genome assembly.